This 753-nucleotide ribosomal RNA is filed under the name uncultured Bacilli bacterium. RNAcentral's name for it is "bacterial SSU rRNA". It matches the Rfam family "Bacterial small subunit ribosomal RNA", at positions 28 to 752 of the family's 1533-position model. Lineage: Bacteria; Bacillati; Bacillota; Bacilli. The record is from RNAcentral.
GACGAACGCUGGCGGCGUGCCUAAUACAUGCAAGUCGAACGCUUCUUUUUCCACCGGAGCUUGCUCCACCGGAAAAAGAGGAGUGGCGAACGGGUGAGUAACACGUGGGUAACCUGCCCAUCAGAAGGGGAUAACACUUGGAAACAGGUGCUAAUACCGUAUAACAAUCAAAACCGCAUGGUUUUGAUUUGAAAGGCGCUUUCGGGUGUCGCUGAUGGAUGGACCCGCGGUGCAUUAGCUAGUUGGUGAGGUAACGGCUCACCAAGGCCACGAUGCAUAGCCGACCUGAGAGGGUGAUCGGCCACAUUGGGACUGAGACACGGCCCAAACUCCUACGGGAGGCAGCAGUAGGGAAUCUUCGGCAAUGGACGAAAGUCUGACCGAGCAACGCCGCGUGAGUGAAGAAGGUUUUCGGAUCGUAAAACUCUGUUGUUAGAGAAGAACAAGGAUGAGAGUAACUGUUCAUCCCUUGACGGUAUCUAACCAGAAAGCCACGGCUAACUACGUGCCAGCAGCCGCGGUAAUACGUAGGUGGCAAGCGUUGUCCGGAUUUAUUGGGCGUAAAGCGAGCGCAGGCGGUUUCUUAAGUCUGAUGUGAAAGCCCCCGGCUCAACCGGGGAGGGUCAUUGGAAACUGGGAGACUUGAGUGCAGAAGAGGAGAGUGGAAUUCCAUGUGUAGCGGUGAAAUGCGUAGAUAUAUGGAGGAACACCAGUGGCGAAGGCGGCUCUCUGGUCUGUAACUGACGCUGAGGC